AUGGCCGAUGCUAGACUCGUUCGCUUGGUGUCUUGCGGAUCGCAAAUCCCCUCCACGUACACCUUCCCCCGUAGGCACCACCACACAACACCCAAGGUUGCGCUCCAGGCACACCUAGCAGCACGGCGGCGCACCGCCCAGCAACAGCUACAUCACAGCACGGGGAGCCACCGAGUGCUGCUCCAUGGCAUCACCAAGCUUGCCAAAAGCUUCAACGCAUCAUCGACGACGACCUGGCGAAGCUCUAUUGCAACUCCGGUGGCGCUCCAUUGCAACUCCGGUGGCACUCCAUUGCAGCCCCAUCAUGGCUUCAACGACUCCAACGGUGCUCUAGUGCAGCCCCAGCAGUGCUCCGUUGCAGACCCAUCACGGCUUCAAUGUCUCCGGUGGUGCUCCAUCGCAGCCCCACGACGCUUCGUUGCAGCUCUAUCACGGCUUCAACGACUCUGGCGGUGCUCCAUUGCAGCCCAGGGCCGGAUCCUUCGUGUCGCUUGUGCUGCACUGCAGCUCGGCCGCCAUGGCCAGAUCCACGGGGACACAGCCCCUGGCUUUGCAGUGCCGGUGGACGAGAUGAGAAGCAGCACCGGUGCCGCGGGGAUGAGAAGCAACGGUGGCCCCGGCUUUGCAGUGCCGGUGACUGGGAUGAGAAAAGCAGCGCCGGUGGCCAGUCCACAAGGAAUAAUGGCACCCACGCUCCUGCGACUCGCCGCUCCGGCGCCCGCAGCCACCGCCACCGUCGUCCUCCGCCCGCUACCCUCCGCUUCUCCGUCCGCUGGUGGCUCGGGUGGCUCGCUGCUGCUGCCACCGGGGUUCGAUUCGCCCCCGCCGCGCCUGGGUUGGGCUGGAUCCGGUCCAGAUCUGGGCUUGCCUGCUCGGCCAGCCGUGCCUGCCGCCUCCGUGUCCUUCGUGCCUGAGACGCUGCCUGCGUUCUGGUGCCAGGCCACUGAUGCGGCGCGGGGUGCGGCCCAGCUGGUGGCCUCCCGCCGCGCGGUGGCUGAGGCAUUCACUCCGCCCGCGAAUCCGGGCUGGGUGCCUUCAAGUCUCUCGCCGACCCGUGCUGAGGUUGGGCGGCGCGCCCCCUCUCCGCCGGGUCGCCUGGCCACGGACUGGCAGGUGGUCAGGCCGCUGUUUUGGUGGCGCUCCUCACCGGCCACCCCUCCCAUGCGUUCAAGGCGCCCGAUGAUUCGGUCGCAAGAUGCAUUCAAUCGCCAGCGACCUCCGCCGCGUGCAUUCAAGAGAAGGGGUGAUUUACUCUGCUUCAACUACCGGGGCACCGGCACUUCGCCUGGGAGUGCAGAGACCCGGUGCCCUGCAAUUACUGCGACCGGCAGGGCCACUUUGCUCGCGGGUGCUCGCUCCGGCUCCAGCAGCAGCCUCUUCGCCCCCGCCGCUCCCGGCCAACCACGGCGCCAUGCCAUGCCUGGGGACGCGGCCUCUCGUCCGAGCGAGGGGCACGUGGUGCUCCUCUCCACCCCGGCAAUGGAGCUGCAGGCGGCCCUUCUCGCCUCCAACGCGGCCCUGAUCUGGCUGGGGGGGAACCGGCUGCAGGUCAACACGGAGGAUAUUGCGCGCGCCAUCGAGGCAGAGACCAACAUCGCCAGGGGCUACUUCAACGUCGUCCCGUUCUUCCCGGAGGACUUCCUGGUCACCUUCCGGCACCCCCACCACCGCGACGAGCUCACCACCAGGGGCCGCUUCCCGCACCACAACCUCGACAUCCAUGCCACCAAGUGGCGUGCCAACGCCCACUCCAAAGUCGCCAAGAUGCACUACCACGUCCAUCUCUGCUUGGAGAAUGUCCCCCUGCACGCUUGGGGAGAGGAGGAGAUCGCCAAUAUCCUGGGCGAGAACACCAUCCUGCACUACUUCGACAUUGCUACUUUGCAGAAGGAGGAUGCCUCGAUGAUGAGCCUGUGGGCCUGGACUACCAAUUCGUCGGCCAUCCCCAAGGUGAUGUGGUCCACCAUCGUCGACAGGCCUAGCCAGCAGCCUAUCGGUAGCGCCACCCCUACUGGGCCGGGGCUGCAGGGGCUGGAGGACAGGGUGCUGAUCCACCUUGAGCUGAUCGAGGACUUCAGCCCAGACGCCGCCGGCAACAUCCCGAGGAACGCCCAGCGCCACCCCCUCGACUGGACCAAGGGCGUCAUCGACGGCGAGCGACAGACGAGGGAGAGCCACAGCUCCCCUGCUGCCCGAGGGCGGGGCCAGCGGCGUGAUGAUGAUCAUGAGGACCACGACGACCACCGCGGCAGACAGGGUGACCGCGGACUGUCCUGGGCGGGCAGGAUCUUCCGGAGUAGAUCCCGGGCGGAUGGCAACAGGCAUGAAGACAGAGGGCGGCGCGAUAAGCAGCGCCGCUGUGAUGAUCGCCGUGGAGAUCGGCGCGAUGGGCGUGACGGGAGGAGCAGGCAAAGCGGGUCGGAGUCGUCGCCGGCGCUCCUGGCCGGCUCGGGUGCUGCCAGCAACACCUUGGUGCGGGCGACUGAGGGCAUGCCGAUCGUGGAUGCUGCGGUGCCUCCGCCUGUGCAUGGACGUUCUCGCGUUCGUCACCCCUCGCCACUCUACGAAUGGAACCACUCCAACGACAACCUAACGCCACAGGCUUCUCCACCGCUAUCCCCUACGUCGGUGCUGCCGUCCUCAUCAAGUUCAAGGCGCGCUGAUGCCCGCUCUGCUGCCAGGGACGCGGCAGUGGCGGUCAGGGUGGAGGGGGCUAGUACGCUGGUGGCCGGUUUGUGCUCUCCUCUGCGGUUGUCUCUCCCAACACCACCGUUGCCGCGCGCUGCUGGGUUCUCACCAUCGCCAACCCCACCAAUCUUCCCUGGCUGGACCCCUCCUAGAACCCCGCUCGCUGGCGGGGUGGCUGCGGUGGCCGCGCCAAUGGAGGCCCUUUUCCGGGAGCGGGAACGGGCUCUACUUCCGACCCCUCAGUCCUCCCCGGUCAAGGCACCAACAAGGAGAGGCAAAACACUGGCCGGGGUUGUUAUCACAUCCCAGGGUGGGGGAUUCUCGCUUCGUCGUACCAGUGCCCGCGUUCAGGCGCGCAAGGUGGGCUUCGCCACCUCCAUGUCAAAGGAAGCGCAGGGGCUUGUCUGCCGCACUAUUGGCAUCAUCCGCAACGGCGAAGACGUCACCGCCCGGGCUCUCGACCAAUUUGAGCGUCAGUUCAAGGAGCAGCUGCCCGACAACGUCAUGACUGCUCUCCGUGGCCUGUUCAAGAUCGACGACACGCAUGCUGCUGUGGUGGAGGAGGCCCUCAUUGGUCAUGGGGGCGCAGCAGCGCUGGACCAUGAGGAGGAGGAGACCAAACUUGAUGUGUUGGACCAGUUUACGGCUUCCUUCCUGGGAGGGGCCAGGCUCAAAAGCUUUGCCCACCGAUCGGCACUGGUCACUAGGGGAGGCAUCCUACUGCUUUGGGAUGACGACGUUGUGGUUGUGUCUGAUAUUGUGCUCUCAGUGUACUGCCUAUCCGCCACAGUCCUCAUCCGCGAGUCUGGGGUCUCCUUCAAGAUCACGGUGGUCUAUGGCCCUACUGCUUCCUCUUGCAAAAAUGCCUUCUUUGCGGAGCUCCUGGAUCAAAAGCCACCUCCAGGGACCAAAUGGCUUACUCUGGGCGACUUCAACCAAAUACAACACGCGCGCGACAAGAAUAAGCGGAACAUCAACCAUGGCCGCAUCAACCGGUUCCGUAACACCCUCCACGCGUGCGAUCUCAGCGAGAUACACCUGCAAAAUCACCACUGCCCUCUCCUUCUCGCGGAUGAUAGUGGACCAAGGAGACCGCGUUGCUUCAAGUUUGAGAAUUUUUGGAGGUCCAUGCCGGGCUUCCAGGAAGUGGUGGACAAGGCUUGGAGCGAGGUUUGCCCUCAUGUGGAGCCGUACCUGCGACUCUUCCACAAGAUGAAAAAAGUUAGUGUCAGGCUAGCGGAGUGGAGUCGAAAUCUUUUCUCGAAGGCGAAGCUUCACUUGCAUGCGGCCCUCUUGGUGAUACUCCGCCUUGACGUCGCCCAAGAAGACCGGGAGCUCUUGCCUGGGGAGAAACACUUGAGGGCAAAGCUAAAGAGAAGGGUGCGGAGGGGCUUUCCUCCGCGCUUUAGGGAGUGGAUCACGGCCUUGCUCCGUUCAUCUUCCUCGCGAAUCCUCCUCAACGGGGUCCCAGGACCUAUUAUCAGGCAUGGCCGCGGCUUUCGGCAGGGAGAUCCGAUCUCUCCCCUGCUCUUUGUCAUUGCUAUCGACCCUUUGCAGCAAAUGCUCGACCUCGCGACCCGUCGUGGACUUUUACACAAGCUUCGAGGGCGUCGUGCCAUUCUCCGCACUUCCCUAUUUGCCGACGACGCGACGGUCUUCAUGGCUCCUAUUAAGGAGGAUAUCGACAACUUCGCUCAGAUCCUAAACUACUUUGGCAAGGUCACGGGCCUCUGCACAAACUUCCAGAAAAGCUCGGUCGUCCCAAUUCGAUGUAGAGACAUCAACCUCGACAACAUCCUAGCAGCCUUGCCGGCCUCCCGUGCAGCUUUCCCCAUCAAGUACUUGGGGCUACCUUUAUCGGUUCGGCAGCUGAGGCGAGGCGACUUCCAAUUCCUUGAGGACAAAUGGCGUGUCGCGUUGAGGAAGGUCUGCAAGUCGAUUUUUUUGGUUGGCGUCCACGAGGAGCGGAGGGGAGCGGCCGUCGUCGCACUCGAGCUCGAAGCGCAAGCCGUUGGCGCCGGCUUCAACACGGUAGCAGCCCGCGCCGAUGCCGAAGGGGUAGGGGAUGGUAAUGUUGCCGCACCUGUCGCGGCAUCCCGGCAGCGCCACGCGCUGAGCCGCCGCCACAAGCAAAUGCAGCACGAUCAGGAGAAGCAUUGGCUGGUCUUCAAGGAUUGGCCCAAGUUGUCAAGUGGGCCCAUUUUAAUGCUAAACCGGCUGACGGGUCGGCCGCGCGUCGCGCCGGUCGCGUGCGCAGCGUCUGAUACGCAUCCACUGGCUCCUAUUGCAUCCACGACGCACAUGUUGGUGGGCCCCGACGGCCUCUUGUCUCUCAUUCUUUUUCUCAUGUCUUUCGCUGCAAUUGCCAUGAACGGCUCGUCCGAGCUCCCGUCCCUUCCCCUCUCUCUAUUUUUUCAGACCUUUCCUGAUAGGCCUUGCUGGAUUGUAUUGAGCCCGGUGUUCUUGUCACAGAGACGCAGAACACGCAGCGGCACCCGCGCCGGAGCGCGCGGAAACUGCCUGUGGAGGUCCUCCAAGUCCUCACUUCCGGGCCAGUCUUUGCGUCGCGCCGGCUUACACCAAGACUGCGUGGGGUUAAAAUGA
Molecule: ribosomal RNA, 5292 nt
Filed under: Triticum aestivum (bread wheat)
Lineage: Eukaryota; Viridiplantae; Streptophyta; Magnoliopsida; Poales; Poaceae
Description: partial small subunit ribosomal RNA
Source: RNAcentral